AUACGGAAGGUCCGGGCGUUAUCCGGAUUUAUUGGGUUUAAAGGGAGCGUAGGCCGGAGAUUAAGCGUGUUGUGAAAUGUAGAUGCUCAACAUCUGCACUGCAGCGCGAACUGGUUUCCUUGAGUACGCACAAAGUGGGCGGAAUUCGUGGUGUAGCGGUGAAAUGCUUAGAUAUCACGAAGAACUCCGAUUGCGAAGGCAGCUCACUGGAGCGCAACUGACGCUGAAGCUCGAAAGUGCGGGUAUCGAACAGGAUUAGAUACCCUGGUAGUCCGCACGGUAAACGAUGGAUGCCCGCUGUUGGUCUGAAUAGGUCAGCGGCCAAGCGAAAGCAUUAAGCAUCCCACCUGGGGAGUACGCCGGCAACGGUGAAACUCAAAGGAAUUGACGGGGGCCCGCACAAGCGGAGGAACAUGUGGUUUAAUUCGAUGAUACGCGAGGAACCUUACCCGGGCUUGAAUUGCAGAGGAAGGAUUUGGAGACAAUGACGCCCUUCGGGGCCUCUGUGAAGGUGCUGCAUGGUUGUCGUCAGCUCGUGCCGUGAGGUGUCGGCUUAAGUGCCAUAACGAGCGCAACCCCUCUCCUUAGUUGCCAUCAGGUCAGGCUGGGCACUCUGGGGACACUGCCACCGUAAGGUGUGAGGAAGGUGGGGAUGACGUCAAAUCAGCACGGCCCUUACGUCCGGGGCUACACACGUGUUACAAUGGCAGGUACAGAGAGACGGUCCCUUGCAAAAUGGAUCAAAUCCUUAAAGCCUGUCUCAGUUCGGACUGGGGUCUGCAACCCGACCCCACGAAGCUGGAUUCGCUAGUAAUCGCGCAUCAGCCAUGGCGCGGUGAAUACGUUCCCGGGCCUUGUACACACCGCCCGUCAAGCCAUGAAAGCCGGGGGCGCCUAAAGUCCGUGACCGUAAGGAGCGGCCUAGGGCGAAACUGGUAAUUGGGGCU
RNAcentral lists this ribosomal RNA (947 nucleotides) under uncultured bacterium. Its description in RNAcentral is "bacterial SSU rRNA". It matches the Rfam family "Bacterial small subunit ribosomal RNA", at positions 523 to 1482 of the family's 1533-position model. The record is from RNAcentral.